AAUGAACGUUGGCGGCGUGGAUUAGGCAUGCAAGUCGUGCGGAAAGGCCCCGCAAGGGGUACUCGAGCGGCGAAAGGGAUAGUAACACGUAGGUCACCUACCUUCGGGACGGGAAUAGCUGGGGGAAACUCCAAUUAAUGCCCGAUAACGUCUCCGGACCAAAGGUGUAAUUCCGCCUGUAGACGGGCCUGCGUCCUAUCAGCUAGUUGGUGAGGUAACGGCCCACCAAGGCAACGACGGGUAGCGGGUGUGAGAGCACGACCCGCAUCACUGGGACUGAGACACUGCCCAGACACCUACGGGAGGCAG
RNAcentral lists this ribosomal RNA (309 nucleotides) under uncultured Planctomycetota bacterium. Its description in RNAcentral is "bacterial SSU rRNA". It matches the Rfam family "Bacterial small subunit ribosomal RNA", at positions 29 to 351 of the family's 1533-position model. Lineage: Bacteria; Pseudomonadati; Planctomycetota. The record is from RNAcentral.